Molecule: unclassified non-coding RNA, 724 nt
Filed under: Hevea brasiliensis (rubber tree)
Lineage: Eukaryota; Viridiplantae; Streptophyta; Magnoliopsida; Malpighiales; Euphorbiaceae
Source: RNAcentral
GUUUUUCUGCAACUCUUUUAGAGUCUUUUUGCUGAAUCUUUAACUGGGUUUUUGUUGUUUUCUCCGAUUAUAGAAUUCUAUAGGUAACAAUUGAUUAUGGAGGGUGAGUUCUUUCUGAAUGCGCAAAUCCCUCCGCCGCCAUUGCACUUUGAGCCAACUUCAACAUCUGCAAUGCCCAUUUGGCAUUCACUCUCUUCGGCCAUGGAAAUGCAAGCUAAUGAACUCAAUUGCUCCACUGAGCAGUCACCUGAUUGUUUCUUCACUCCUAACUGGGAAAAGUCAACGGAUCAAGGUCUCCACUUUGACUCUGCUCUGAGUUCAAUGGUGUCCUCGCCAGCGGCCUCCAAUUCUAACAUAUCCGGCGAGAGCUUUGUGAUCAGAGAACUCAUAGGAAAAUUAGGAAACAUUGGCAGCACCAACAACAAUUCUGGCGAGAUCUCCCCGCAUUCCCGGCCUAUGUUGGCGGCUUCAUAUAUUACCCCUGGAAAUAACAGCGCCAACACUUCCUGUUAUAGUACUCCUUUGAAUUCACCGCCAAAGCUGGAUUUGCCUCCAUUAGAUCAAUUUUCCAAGGAAAAUUUGAAAUUUCCCAGUUUGGGGAAACCUCUGGGUUUGAAUUCUAGUGUAGCAGAAUUCACAGCUGAUCCUGGAUUCGCCGAGAGAGCUGCAAGGUUCUCUUGCUUUGGCAGCAGGAGUUUCAAUGGUAGAAGCAGCCAGAUGGGGC